Molecule: long non-coding RNA, 335 nt
Filed under: Vitis vinifera (wine grape)
Lineage: Eukaryota; Viridiplantae; Streptophyta; Magnoliopsida; Vitales; Vitaceae
Description: long non-coding RNA (VVIN_LNC006381)
Source: RNAcentral
UGGGAUGGAAGAGCUUGAAGCUCUAGAGGGUUCAUAAACAGAAACUCUAGGGCUGCUUGAAUGUCUGAAAGAUUUGGAAAAAACGAGUUCUCCUCCUCCAUCUGGAUAUUGAACAAUUUGUUCAAUACUUUCAGAACGCUGUGCAAUGGCUGGAACAGCAUUAGCAAAAUGCCAAUUUUCAGGAAAAUCAACAUCUUUCCACAAGAUCUUCUUGGGGAUGAUGAAAUCUGACUUAUCUAGCAUAUCUGAGUGAAAGUAAGUGGUCUCACCUUUAGGACUGGUGCAAAGAGCCCCAGAUCCAACGCUUGUGUUCAUGCUCUUAUAGGCAAACCUGG